AGUGCCGUAGCUCAGAUGUAGAGCAUCUGCCUUGCACACAGAAAGUCCUAGGUUCAAUCCCCAAUGGCAUCU
Non-coding RNA from Podarcis lilfordi (Lilford's wall lizard), 72 nucleotides. NCBI's taxonomy places the organism in Eukaryota, Metazoa, Chordata, Lepidosauria, Squamata, Lacertidae. The record is from the annotation of a GenBank genome assembly.